CGCCCCAUGGCCCAGCCCUGUCUCCUUUUAGCAUAGGGGCUUCGGCGCCAGCGGCCAGCGCUAGUCGGUCUGGUAAGGCAAAGCGGAGCGGAGAUCCUCAAACGGCCUAGUGCUUCGCGCUUCCGGAGAAAAUCAGCGGUCUAAUUAAUUCCUCUGGUUUGUUGAAGCAGUUACCAAGAAUCUUCACCCCUUUCCCACAAAAGGUACGGUUGAGUACACGUUCCUGUUGAUUUACAAAAGGUGCAGGUAUGAGCAGAUCUGAAGACUAACAUUUUGUGAACUUGUAAAACAGAAAACCUGUUUGAAAUGUGGUGGUUUCAGCAAGGCCUCAGUUUCCUUCCUUCAGCCCUUGUAAUUUGGACAUCUGCUGCUUUCAUAUUUUCAUACAUUACUGCAGUAACACUCCACCAUAUAGACCCGGCUUUACCUUAUAUCAGUGACACUGGUACAGUAGCUCCAGAAAAAUGCUUAUUUGGGGCAAUGCUAAAUAUUGCGGCAGUUUUAUGCAUUGCUACCAUUUAUGUUCGUUAUAAGCAAGUUCAUGCUCUGAGUCCUGAAGAGAACGUUAUCAUCAAAUUAAACAAGGCUGGCCUUGUACUUGGAAUACUGAGUUGUUUAGGACUUUCUAUUGUGGCAAACUUCCAGAAAACAACCCUUUUUGCUGCACAUGUAAGUGGAGCUGUGCUUACCUUUGGUAUGGGCUCAUUAUAUAUGUUUGUUCAGACCAUCCUUUCCUACCAAAUGCAGCCCAAAAUCCAUGGCAAACAAGUCUUCUGGAUCAGACUGU
RNAcentral lists this small RNA (787 nucleotides) under Pan troglodytes (chimpanzee). Its description in RNAcentral is "processed transcript". Lineage: Eukaryota; Metazoa; Chordata; Mammalia; Primates; Hominidae. The record is from RNAcentral.